CUUAAAGGAAUUGACGGGGCCCGCACAAGCGGUGGAGCAUGUGGUUAAUUCGAAGCAACGCGAAGACCUUACCAGGUCUUGACAUCCCGAUGCUAUUUCUAGAGAUAGAAAGUUACUUCGGUACAUCGGUGACAGGUGGUGCAUGGUUGUCGUCAGCUCGUGUCGUGAGAUGUUGGGUUAAGUCCCGCAACGAGCGCAACCCCUAUUGUUAGUUGCCAUCAUUCAGUUGGGCACUCUAGCGAGACUGCCGGUAAUAAACCGGAGGAAGGUGGGGAUGACGUCAAAUCAUCAUGCCCCUUAUGACCUGGGCUACACACGUGCUACAAUGGUUGGUACAACGAGUUGCGAGUCGGUGACGGCGAGCUAAUCUCUUAAAGCCAAUCUCAGUUCGGAUUGUAGGCUGCAACUCGCCUACAUGAAGUCGGAAUCGCUAGUAAUCGCGGAUCAGCACGCCGCGGUGAAUACGUUCCCGGGCCUU
RNAcentral lists this ribosomal RNA (478 nucleotides) under uncultured Streptococcus sp. RNAcentral's name for it is "bacterial SSU rRNA". It matches the Rfam family "Bacterial small subunit ribosomal RNA", at positions 900 to 1382 of the family's 1533-position model. The record is from RNAcentral. Lineage: Bacteria; Bacillati; Bacillota; Bacilli; Lactobacillales; Streptococcaceae.